Molecule: ribosomal RNA, 499 nt
Filed under: uncultured bacterium
Lineage: Bacteria
Description: partial 16S ribosomal RNA
Rfam family: Bacterial small subunit ribosomal RNA
Source: RNAcentral
AUUGAACGCUGGCGGUAUGCUUAACACAUGCAAGUCGAACGAUGAGAAAGAGCUUGCUCUUUCGAUUAGUGGCGGACGGGUGCGUAACGCGUAGGAAUCUACCUAUUAGUGGGGGACAACUUAGGGAAACUUAAGCUAAUACCGCAUACGCCCUACGGGGGAAAGAAGGGGAUCGCAAGACCUUUUGCUAAUAGAUGAGCCUGCGUAGGAUUAGCUAGUUGGUGGGGUAAAAGCUCACCAAGGCGACGAUCCUUAACUGGUUUGAGAGAAUGAUCAGACACGCUGGAACUGAGAAACGGUCCAGACUCCUGCGGGAGGCAGCAGUGGGGAAUAUUGGACAAAGGGCGAAAGCCUGGUCCAGCAAUACCGCGUGUGUGAAGAAGGCCUUAGGGUUGUAAAGCACUGUCAAUUGGGAGGAAAACCUCGAAGCUAAUACCUUCGAGUUUGACAUUACCUUUAGAAGAAGCACCGGCUAACUCCGUGCCAGCCGCCGCCGUAA